AACAAAUUAAUAAGUGCAAAUGGCGGAUGCCUAGGCACCAGAAGCCGAUGAAGGUCGUAGGAGGCUGCGAAAAGCCUCGGGGAGCCGCCAACCAGGCUUCGAUCCGAGGAUUACCGAAUGGGGAAACCCGGCUGGAGUAAUGUCCAGUCAUUUCUCUCUGAAUAAAUAGGAGAGUCAAAGGUAACGAGGGGAAGUGAAACAUCUCAGUACCCUCAGGAAGAGAAAACAACCGUGAUUCCGUUAGUAGUGGCGAGCGAAAGCGGAAGAGGCUAAACCAAUCAUGUGCCAAGCCGGCAGGCGUUGCAUGAUCGGUGUCGUGGGACUAAAUCGAAUCAACUGCCGUUAAUUCAACAAGUCAGAAAAUAAUGAAAUAGAUGAAGGACGUGGGAAAGUCCGGCAUAGAAGGUGAGACCCCUGUAGUCGAAAUUUCAUUAUCUUGUUUUUAGUAUCCCAAGUAAUACCGGACUCGUGUAAUCCGGUAUGAAUCUGGCGGGACCACCCGCUAAGCCUAAAUACUCUCUGGUGACCGAUAGUGAACAAGUACCGUGAGGGAAAGGUGAAAAGAACCCCGCAAGGGGAGUGAAAUAGAAUCUGAAACCGUUUGCAUACAAACCGUUGGAGCUGCCUUGUGCAGUGACAGCGUGCCUUUUGAAGAAUGAGUCUACGAGUUAGUGUGAUGUGGCAAGGUUAACCCGUCGAGGGGAAGCCGUAGCGAAAGCGAGUCUGAAUAGGGCGAAUAAGUCGCAUCAUCUAAACCCGAAGCGAGGUGAUCUCGCCAUGACCAGGUUGAAGCGCGGGUAAGACCGCGUGGAGGACCGAACCCACUAAAGUUGAAAAUUUAGGGGAUGAGUUGUGGCUAGGGGUGAAAGACCAAUCAAACUUCGUGAUAGCUGGUUCUCUCCGAAAUGCAUUUAGGUGCAGCGUUACGUGUUUCUUACCGGAGGUAGAGCUACUGGAUGGUCGAGGGGCCCUACAAGGUUACCAACAUCAGCCAAACUCCGAAUGCCGGUAAGUGAGAACGUAGCAGUGAGACAGUGGGGGAUAAUCUUCAUUGUCGAGAGGGAAACAACCCAGAGUAGCAACUAAGGUCCCAAAGCGUGUGCUAAGUGGAAAAGGAUGUGAAGUCGCAUAGACAACCAGGAGGUUGGCUUAGAAGCAGCCACCCUUAAAAAAGUGCGUAAUAGCUUACUGGUCAAGUGAUUUCGCGCCGACAAUGUAACGGGGCUCAAGCACACCACCGAAGUUCUAUCAUUCACACACUAUCCCGGUCGUAAGAUCCAGGAGUGUGGAUGGGUAGGAGAGCGUCGUGUAGCUGGCGAAGCGGCGGAGGAAUCCAGCCGUGGAAGCUACACGAGUGAGAAUGUAGACAUGAGUAGCGAGAGUUGGGUGAGAAACCCAACCGCCGAAAGACCAAGGGUUCCUGGGCCAGGCUAAUCCGCCCAGGGUAAGUCGGGACCUAAGACGAGGCCGUCAGGCGUAGUCGAUGGACAACGGGUUGAUAUUCCCGUACCCGCGUAAGUUCGUCCCUGACGAACCUCCUAAUGCUAAGUUUUCGAAGCGUUAUUGGCGUAAGUCGAUGGCGUGGAGGGAACGACCCGGUGGAGUAGUAGUCAAGCAAUGGUGUGACACAGGAAGGUAGUCCAGCCCGGGCGAUGGUUGUCCCGGGGUAAGAGUGUAGGGAGUUAUGUAGGCAAAUCCGCAUAACGUUUAACUGAGACUUGAUGCCGAGCCGAAUGGCGAAGUGGAUGAUCCUAUGCUGUCAAGAAAAGCAUCUAGCGAGAACUUAAGUGGCCCGUACCCGAAACCGACACAGGUGGUCAGGUAGAGAAUACCAAGG
Molecule: ribosomal RNA, 1837 nt
Filed under: Candidatus Allofontibacter communis
Lineage: Bacteria; Pseudomonadati; Pseudomonadota; Alphaproteobacteria; Candidatus Pelagibacterales; Candidatus Pelagibacteraceae
Description: partial 23S ribosomal RNA
Rfam family: Bacterial large subunit ribosomal RNA
Source: RNAcentral